AGAGUUUGAUCCUGGCUCAGGAUGAACGCUAGCUACAGGCUUAACACAUGCAAGUCGAGGGGAAACGAUAUUGGAAGCUUGCUUCCGAUAGGCGUCGACCGGCGCACGGGUGAGUAACGCGUAUCCAACCUGCCCAUCACUUGGGGAUAACCUUGCGAAAGUAAGACUAAUACCCAAUGAUAUCUCUAGAAGACAUCUGAAAGAGAUUAAAGAUUUAUCGGUGAUGGAUGGGGAUGCGUCUGAUUAGCUUGUUGGCGGGGUAACGGCCCACCAAGGCGACGAUCAGUAGGGGUUCUGAGAGGAAGGUCCCCCACAUUGGAACUGAGACACGGUCCAAACUCCUACGGGAGGCAGCAGUGAGGAAUAUUGGUCAAUGGACGAGAGUCUGAACCAGCCAAGUAGCGUGCAGGAAGACGGCCCUAUGGGUUGUAAACUGCUUUUAUAAGGGAAUAAAGUGAGCCUCGUGAGGCUUUUUGCAUGUACCUUAUGAAUAAGGACCGGCUAAUUCCGUGCCAGCAGCCGCGGUAAUACGGAAGGUCCGGGCGUUAUCCGGAUUUAUUGGGUUUAAAGGGAGCGUAGGCCGGAGAUUAAGCGUGUUGUGAAAUGUAGACGCUCAACGUCUGCACUGCAGCGCGAACUGGUUUCCUUGAGUACGCACAAAGUGGGCGGAAUUCGUGGUGUAGCGGUGAAAUGCUUAGAUAUCACGAAGAACUCCGAUUGCGAAGGCAGCUCGCUGGAGCGCAACUGACGCUGAAGCUCGAAAGUGCGGGUAUCGAACAGGAUUAGAUACCCUGGUAGUCCGCACGGUAAACGAUGGAUGCCCGCUGUUGGUCUGAACAGGUCAGCGGCCAAGCGAAAGCAUUAAGCAUCCCACCUGGGGAGUACGCCGGCAACGGUGAAACUCAAAGGAAUUGACGGGGGCCCGCACAAGCGGAGGAACAUGUGGUUUAAUUCGAUGAUACGCGAGGAACCUUACCCGGGCUUGAAUUGCAGAGGAAGAAUUUGGAGACAAUGACGCCCUUCGGGCCGUCUGUGAAGGUGCUGCAUGGUUGUCGUCAGCUCGUGCCGUGAGGUGUCGGCUUAAGUGCCAUAACGAGCGCAACCCCUCUCCUUAGUUGCCAUCAGGUUAUGCUGGGCACUCUGGGGACACUGCCACCGUAAGGUGUGAGGAAGGUGGGGAUGACGUCAAAUCAGCACGGCCCUUACGUCCGGGGCUA
This 1217-nucleotide ribosomal RNA is filed under the name Segatella copri DSM 18205. RNAcentral describes it as "bacterial SSU rRNA". It matches the Rfam family "Bacterial small subunit ribosomal RNA", at positions 8 to 1216 of the family's 1533-position model. RNAcentral also lists the same sequence under 1 other name. Lineage: Bacteria; Pseudomonadati; Bacteroidota; Bacteroidia; Bacteroidales; Prevotellaceae. The record is from RNAcentral.